This 438-nucleotide ribosomal RNA is filed under the name uncultured ammonia-oxidizing bacterium. RNAcentral describes it as "bacterial SSU rRNA". It matches the Rfam family "Bacterial small subunit ribosomal RNA", at positions 215 to 645 of the family's 1533-position model. The record is from RNAcentral.
GCGCUCUUGGAGCGGCCGAUGUCUGAUUAGCUAGUUGGUGAGGUAAUGGCUUACCAAGGCGACGAUCAGUAGCUGGUCUGAGAGGACGACCAGCCACACUGGGACUGAGACACGGCCCAGACUCCUACGGGAGGCAGCAGUGGGGAAUUUUGGACAAUGGGCGAAAGCCUGAUCCAGCCAUGCCGCGUGAGUGAAGAAGGCCUUCGGGUUGUAAAGCUCUUUCAGUCGGAAAGAAACGAUUGUGACUAAUACUCACAAUUAAUGACGGUACCGACAGAAGAAGCACCGGCUAACUACGUGCCAGCAGCCGCGGUAAUACGUAGGGUGCGAGCGUUAAUCGGAAUUACUGGGCGUAAAGGGUGCGCAGGCGGUCUUGCAAGUCAGAUGUGGAAUCCCCGGGCUUAACCUGGGAAUUGCGUUUGAAACUACAAGGCUAGA